CAGACUCCUACGGGAGGCAGCAGUGGGGAAUAUUGGGCAAUGGGCGAAAGCCUGACCCAGCAACGCCGCGUGAAGGAAGAAGGCCCUCGGGUGUAAACUUCUUUUGUCAGGGACGAAGCAAGUGACGGUACCUGACGAAUAAGCCACGGCUAACUACGUGCCAGCAGCCGCGUAAUACGUAGGUGGCAAGCGUUAUCCGGAUUUACUGGGGUAAAGGGCGUGUAGGCGGGAGUGCAAGUCAGAUGUGAAAACUAUGGGCUCAACCCAUAGCCUGCAUUUGAAACUGUACUUCUUGAGUGAUGGAGAGGCAGGCGGAAUUCCCUGUGUAGCGGUGAAAUGCGUAGAUAUAGGGAGGAA
This 357-nucleotide ribosomal RNA is filed under the name uncultured bacterium. RNAcentral describes it as "bacterial SSU rRNA". It matches the Rfam family "Bacterial small subunit ribosomal RNA", at positions 332 to 706 of the family's 1533-position model. The record is from RNAcentral.